CAAAUAUCAUCACAAUGGGGAUUAGGCUUCAGAAUUCACAUAGGAAUCUUGGUGGGACAUAAACAUUCAGUAUAAAGCAACUGAUGAGAAGAAUUAUUGAUUCUUUUACAAUUAUUGAUUCAUUUGGGCUUCCCAAGUGGCGCCAAUGAUGAGAAAACUGAGGUGCUGGAAAGUAAAGACCUGAGCUCCAGGUCACGUAGCCAACAGGUGGUAAAGUGCACAUGCAAGCCAGCUGCCUCUUAAGCAUUAACCUUUGUGACUCAGGGAAAAAGUCCCGCUUCAGUAGCACACUUCUCUGUCUACUAAAGGACACUGUCAAAGCAAGGAACACGACCACCAAAGUGAUACUACUGGGGAGGGUGUCCUGCCCUCUGUAA
RNAcentral lists this long non-coding RNA (377 nucleotides) under Capra hircus (goat). RNAcentral's name for it is "lncRNA (ENSCHIG00000003686.1)". Lineage: Eukaryota; Metazoa; Chordata; Mammalia; Artiodactyla; Bovidae. The record is from RNAcentral.